GCUGCGCGGGGUGAUCUCGGCGAGCUGUGGUCUGCGCGCUCUGGGACUCGGGCAGGCGCUCGCUCGGGCUGCGAUCCUCGCUCGCAGCCUCCGCCGUCUCCUUCCAAGCGGGCUCGGCCCGGUGCUGCCGGCGGCUGGGGCGAUGUGAACCGGGGCCCUCGGGCGCGGCAGGUUCGCCGCGAUGUGGCUCAAGCCCGAGGAGGUGCUGCUCAAGAACGCGCUGAAGCUCUGGGUGACCCAGAAGAGCAGCUGCUACUUCGUCUUGCAGCGGCGCCGUGGGCACGGCGAGGGGGGCGGCCGCCUCACGGGUCGCCUUGUGGGCGCUCUGGAUGCGGUCCUGGAUUCCAGUGCACGCGUUGCUCCGUUUCGGAUCCUGCUUCAAGUCCCCGGGUCCCAGGUUUAUUCUCCCAUAGCAUGUGGUGCGACUCUGGAGGAGAUCAACCAGCACUGGGACUGGCUGGAGCAGAACCUGCUGCACACCCUGUCGGUCUUCGACAACAAGGACGACAUCGCCAGCUUUGUCAAAGGGAAGGUGAAGGCUCUGAUCGCGGAAGAGACCAGUAGCAGACUGGCUGAGCAGGAGGAGGAACCCGAGAAGUUCCGAGAAGCCCUGGUGAAGUUCGAGGCCAGGUUCAACUUCCCUGAGGCAGAGAAGCUGGUCGCCUACUACUCAUGCUGCUGCUGGAAGGGCCGGGUGCCCCGCCAGGGCUGGCUCUACCUCAGCAUCAACCACCUCUGCUUCUACUCCUUCUUCCUGGGCAAGGAACUUAAACUCGUCAUCCCUUGGGUGGACAUCCUGAAGUUGGAGCGGACGUCCAAUGUCUUUCUCACGGACACCAUCCGGAUUACCACACAGAAUAAGGAGCGUGACUUCUCCAUGUUUCUGAACCUGGAUGAGGUGUUUAAGAUGAUGGAGCAGCUGGCAGAUGUGACGCUCCGGAGGCUGCUGGACAAUGAGGUCUUCGAUUUGGACCCUGACCUUCAGGAACCUAGCCAGAUCACCAAGAGGGACCUGGAGGCCAGAGCACAGAAUGAGUUCUUCCGAGCUUUCUUCAGGCUGCCGAGGAAGGAGAGGCUGCACGCUGUGGUAGACUGUUCCCUCUGGACACCCUUCAGCCGCUGCCACACGGCGGGGCGGAUGUUCACCUCUGACAGCUACAUCUGCUUUGCCAGCCGGGAGGAUGGCUGCUGUAAUGUUGUGCUCCCACUGAGAGAGGUAGUAAGUAUUGAGAAGAUGGAGGACACGAGCCUGUUGCCCAACCCCAUCAUUGUCAGCAUCCGCAGCAAGAUGGCCUUCCAGUUCAUCGAGCUCAAGGACAGAGAGAACCUGGUAGAGGGCCUCCUGGUGAGACUGAAGCAGGCCCACGCCAACCAUCCCGUGCACUAUGACAGCUCACCAAGUGACGACGGCAUGACUUCAUCUGUCUUUUAUUCAACAAGCAUGUGCAGUGACAAGUUUGGGGAUCUUGAAAUGGUAUCUUCUCAAAAUGGCGAAGAGAGAGAGAAGGAAAAGAGCCCACUGCCACACCCUGAGCCCCUGACUGUCUUCCAGCAGUCGGGCAGUCAGAGUCCUGACUCCCGCCUGUCCCGGGAGCAGAUAAAAAUCAGUCUGUGGAACGACCACUUUGUGGAGUACGGCAGGACCGUGUGUAUGUUUCGCACUGAGAAGAUCCGGAAGCUGGUGGCCAUGGGGAUCCCUGAGUCUUUACGUGGAAAGCUGUGGCUGCUUUUCUCAGACGCUGUGACGGACCUCGCCUCGCACCCUGGGUACUAUGGAAAUUUGGUGGAGCAGUCGCUAGGCAGAUGCUGCCUGGUGACAGACGAGAUAGAGCGGGACCUGCACCGUUCUCUGCCUGAGCACCCUGCCUUCCAGAACGAAACGGGUAUUGCUGCCUUGAGGCGGGUGCUGACAGCCUAUGCCCACCGGAACCCCAAGAUUGGCUACUGCCAGUCCAUGAACAUUCUGACCUCUGUGUUGCUGCUGUAUGCCAAAGAGGAGGAAGCCUUUUGGCUGCUGGUUGCCGUCUGUGAGCGGAUGCUGCCGGAUUACUUCAACCACCGGGUGAUCGGGGCUCAGGUGGACCAGUCUGUCUUUGAGGAGCUCAUCAAGGAGCACCUCCCAGAGCUGGCGGAGCACAUGAACGACCUCUCGGCACUGGCGUCCAUCUCUCUGUCCUGGUUCCUGACUCUGUUCCUCAGCAUCAUGCCCCUGGAGAGUGCUGUGAAUGUGGUCGACUGCUUCUUCUACGACGGCAUCAAGGCCAUCUUCCAGCUGGGGCUAGCCGUGCUGGAAGCCAAUGCGGAGGAGCUGUGCAGCAGCAAGGAUGAUGGGCAGGCCCUGAUGAUCCUCAGCAGGUUUCUAGAUCACAUUAAGAAUGAAGACAGCCCAGGGCCCCCCAUUGGCAGCCACCAUGCCUUUUUCUCUGAUGACCAGGAGCCCUAUCCAGUGACCGACAUUGCUGACCUGAUCCGGGACUCUUAUGAGAAAUUUGGGAACCAGUCUGUGGAGCAGAUUGAGCACCUGCGAUGCAAGCACAGGAUCAGGGUCCUGCAAGGUCACGAGGACACCACCAAGCAGAAUGUGCUCCGCGUCGUUAUCCCGGAAGUCUCCAUUCUUCCUGAAGACCUUGAUGAACUCUACGACUUAUUCAAGAGAGCACACAUGAUGAGCUGUUACUGGGAGCACCCCAGGCCCAUGCCCUUGCGCCAUGACCCCAGCAGGCCCUAUGCUGAGCAGUACCGCAUCGACGCCCGGCAGUUUGCACAUCUGUUCCAGUUGGUAUCUCCGUGGACCUGUGGAGUCCACACAGAGAUCCUUGCUGAGAGAACCUUCAGGCUCCUGGAUGACAACAUGGACCAGCUCAUGGAGUUCAAAGCCUUCGUAAGCUGUCUAGACAUUAUGUACAAUGGAGAAAUGAAUGAAAAGAUUAAGCUGCUAUACAGGCUUCAUAUCCCACCAGGCGUAUGGGUGUUUUGUCCCAUGUGCAUGCCUGGUACUUGCAGAGGCCAGAGGAAGGUGUCAUCUUAGAUGGUUGUGAGCUGCCACAUGGGUACUGGGAUUAGACCUAAGUCCUCUGGAAGAGCAUCCAUCUCUCCAGCCUAUGGUCAUGCUUUUUAAAACCUUUUGAUUGAUGUUUGAAUGUAGUAUUUCAUUACCCUUCUCCUCCAUCCCUGAUGUUUCUUCUUGGUCACAUAAGCUUUUGUGUUGGUGGAUGGUCUUGAUUUUUUUCAUUCUCAACAUUUUUAAUGUGUGUAUGCACAUACGGAAGUCAGAGGACCGAGUGUCCAUUCUGUCACCAUGUUUCAAAGGGGUCAAUGUUGUUUGCAGCUUUGUACUAUCAGGCUGGCUAGUCCGUACAGAGCUUCCAGGGAUUCUCUUGUCUACAUCUAUCUCCCCACAAGAACACUUGGAACUAUUAAAUAUGUACCAACAUAUUCAGCUUUUACAUGAGUUCUGAAGAUUUGAACUUGGGUCGUUAUGCUUGCAUGGGAAGCCCUCUCCCUAGCUCCUAGCUCCUCCCUUUGCUUUCAAAAAUGUCCUUGUUUUUUUCAACUACAUUGCUGACUCUUUCCCUGGCUUUUUACUGACUUCUUGAUCCCAGAUUUGAAUUGGCUUGUCUUUAUGCUCUUAGACGUAAAUGAUCAUUUUAAAGCAUUUAUAACUUAAGAUGAAGAUGUUUUCCAUUAAGUUUUAAGAGUAUACAUUUCCAUAUAUGUAACAUUUGAUAAUAUAUACCCUUCCCAUUCCUGUUUUAUCUCUUUCUUCUGACCACUCAGUAAGCAUAGCUGAGAUGAGGUGUUAUCUGCAGGUAUGGACACCUGACUAGGAAGGAAAUGUUUCUUCCUCCUCUAACAACUGUUAACUGCCCAUUGGGCCUCAGAGGAAGGGCUAGGACCUUUUGAGCCCCUUUCUCAACAGGAUGAAUGUGCAAUGACCAUGUCUUACCUGCUUAGUUAAAACCAAAGAGCACUGAUGACUGUAGAAUGGAAAAUGGUAACUGUAAAUUGUUAGAAAAUUAUUUAGGGUAAAUGUGGAAUACAAGAAAGAUGGAAGAAAAGCAGUUUAAUAGAAGGAAAACACAGGUGGAGGCAGGGAAGCUGCUACUGAGGGGGAAGAGAAAAGAGCAAGAGAUCAAGAAAAAAAAAAACAAAAGUGUAGGGGAAAGUUUAACUUCUAAAUAAGGAGGUUUGAAAAUGAAGUAAUAAAAAAUAAAAGCAUGAGGUUUUAAAUGUUGGACUAAAAACUAUUAAAAAUACAUAGAUGGAAAAGGUUAUCAAAGUAAUGCCCAAAACGCAUAAACAAAAGUAUAUCAAUGUAUGAAGGGGAAAUGAAAUAAAAAUUUACAGAUUUUUUAAAAGUGAAGCCAGGCAGUAGUGGCUCAUGACCUUAAUCCUAGCACAUGGGAGGCAGAAACAGGAGGACCUCAGGAGUUCAAGGCUAGUCUGGUCUACAGAGUGAGUUCCAGGACAGUCAGGGUUAAAAAGAAAGAAAACUCAGGAAGCAAAGACAGGCCAGAAAAUAAGAUGGGGUAGCUGUUUCCUGGACCCCUGAAGACCAGACUGAAAUUAGAUGCACUGAGGGGGGGGGGGGGUUGGGUCUGGCUGACCAAAUCUUUCUUGUGGCUCUGAUAAAUACUCACACAAAAGCACCUAAAGGGGAAAGUUUAUUUGACUUACAAUUCCAGGUCAUUGUGGGGUGACAGAAACCCAAAGCUGUCACAUCACAAGAACAGGAAGUAAUGAAUUAAUGCAUGCCAGUGCUCAGUUUACUCUCCCACUCAUGGGAAGGAACCUCAAACUCUCCGAAUGGUGCUACCCAGGGAAUCUUCCCACCUGUUAGCCCAAUUAAGAAAUCUCCCAGAAAUGGCUGUCCAACUUAAUUCUAUUCUUAAGACACACUUUUCAGGUGAUUCUAGACUGUAAAAUUGAGUUUAAAACCAAUGUUGGUAUUGUGCCUCUACUGGACAAGUGUCUUUACUUCAGGGCUUGUCACGAUAGCACAUCCAUUUGCUAGCUUUGGUGCAGCAGCGAGCCCACCAGUGGAUGGGACAAACCUACCCCAUAGACUGCAAAACUGUAGAUCAAGAGAUUUGAAUAUCAAAAGUAAUAAGCUCUGGUAUGCAAAAACAACUUGUCUAAGAACAGCACUAAUGUAAGCAGCAAACGAACAACAAGGGAUAGGACUGCUGUCUCUAGCUUACAUUGGGUGUCAGGUGACAAAAGCUAUCUAUCAAAGUCUGGAAUGGCAAGUUUCAAAUAACUAAGUGAAACAUAGUGAAAGCUCUACCCAUUUAUAGUAUCUAACCACAAACUACAUAUGCACUGAGACCCAUCACCCUAAAACGAACCCCCCAAUGCCCCCGACCAUUCCAUGUUUAUGCAGCCUUCUGCAAUCUGUUGUUGCCUAUUCCAUGUUUUUUAAGUGGCUAUAGCGUGCACCACUAUUGUCUGGCUUCUGCUGAUAACUGUGUUCAGUUGGUCCAUGUUGUAGAAUCAGUCCUUCUUGGCCAGGAGUGUCUACUGUGGCUAUGACCACCACUGCUGCUGUGGUUGUGUUGCUAUCAGUUUUGCAUAAAAAUCUUCCAUACUCGCCGGGCAGUGGUGGCGCACGCCUUUAAUCCCAGCACUCGGGAGGCAGAGGCAGGCGGAUCUCUGAGAGUUCGAGACCAGCCUGGUCUACAGAGCUAGUUCCAGGACAGGCUCCAAAGCCACAGACAAACCCUGUCUCGAAAAACCAAAAAAAAAAAAAAAAAAAUCUUCCAUACUCCCAAGUAGACUACAGAAGUGGGAAUUCUGGGUUUAACCUUAAAAAAAUGUAUAGGCAUUUUUGCCUGCUGCCUAGAGGCCAGAUCUCCUGGUACUGGAGUAUAUAUAAUAUAUACAAACAAAUAUGUGCUCUUAACUGAAGGCUUUUUUGUUUUGAUACUGGGUCUAGACCUCAUGAUGUAGAUAUUAAGAGAUCUGCCUUCCUCCGCUGGGAUUAAAGGUGUGAACCAUAUUUACCUAAGUUUUUGAGAAAUGGCAAAUUUUUCAAACUGAUUAAACCAUUUUAUUACUAGCAAUGUUUGAAACUUCUGAUGUUUUACUUUUAGUGCAAUUCAAAGAAACCAGUGUGGUGGUUUGAGGCCAAUUGGUCUACGAGCCACACAAACCCUGUCUUGAAAAACCAAAAAUCACCAAUAUGAUGUUUGGAAGUCAGCACUACUUUAAAACAAAAAUUAAAAAAAAAAAAAAACCCUACAUGAUGUAAGAAGCCAGAGAUAGGUGGAUCUCUUCAAGUUCUACAACUGCCAGGGCUACGUAAAGACGCUGUCUCAAAACCCUCCUCCAACCAAGAGCCCCCACUUACACCAUCUAAAUAUACUGAUUAUAUGCUCACUGUAAUUAAUACAUUGUCUAGAUAAGUUUAUUCAUAGUAUUAGAAGGGGUUUGCUAUGUUAUCUCAGAACAUCAGACAGAAUUUGCCUACUUCAUUUGGCUUUAAAGGCUCUUUACAAUAUUGGAACUGUUGGCUUAGUCUUUGUCAGUUAAACAGAAACUAUGUUCAGUUUUAACACUUCUCUUUUAAGCACUCACUGAAAAUGACAGAGACAGUCAGUCACCACUGAAGAAUCCUCUGCUGUCAACGUCAAGACCCUUGGUAUUGGGUGACACAAUUGAUUAUCAAA
Molecule: RNA transcript, 6668 nt
Organism: Chionomys nivalis (European snow vole)
Lineage: Eukaryota; Metazoa; Chordata; Mammalia; Rodentia; Cricetidae
Gene: Tbc1d8
Gene name: TBC1 domain family member 8
Exons: 19
Source: RefSeq, a predicted model, not a curated record